Molecule: non-coding RNA, 433 nt
Organism: Zootermopsis nevadensis
Lineage: Eukaryota; Metazoa; Arthropoda; Insecta; Blattodea; Termopsidae
Source: RefSeq, a predicted model, not a curated record
CUAUAAUACCAACGGUGAAUAGGUAGGGAAGAGGGUAUAAAAUAUUCGUAUUCUAUGCUUCGUAUCACAGACAACAAAUUAGAAUUGCCAGAAACUUCACAGGACAAUUACAACUGUAAUUUUGAAUAUUUGUGUGAAAGCCUCCAAGAUAUAUUUUUAUAUUGGUAUGUGUGGCUCCUGGCCGGAGUCUCAGCACGUAACAUAUGUAUUUUACUUCAUUUUUCCUGCAGGAACAAACUUUCCAUCUCCAAAUCAUUUAGUAAAGACUGCCAUCUUCAAACUCACCACCAUGACAACCUCAAAUCCUGCUUACAAAAACCAUGAUUACAUCUGUUAAAAAGGAUACUCUGUCCCUGCUGCUAGUAAAGAUUGUGGAUAUUGUUGACUAGGAAGAUGGAAUUGAAUAAAAUGAACAAGAUUGGAUAAGAUCAUA